UACGAAGGGGGCUAGCGUUGCUCGGAAUCACUGGGCGUAAAGCGCACGUAGGCGGAUUGCUAAGUCAGGGGUGAAAUCCUGGAGCUCAACUCCAGAACUGCCCUUGAUACUGGCGGUCUCGAGUCCGGGAGAGGUGAGUGGAACUGCGAGUGUAGAGGUGAAAUUCGUAGAUAUUCGCAAGAACACCAGUGGCGAAGGCGGCUCACUGGCCCGGGACUGACGCUGAGGUGCGAAAGCGUGGGGAGCAAACAGG
This 253-nucleotide ribosomal RNA is filed under the name uncultured bacterium. RNAcentral describes it as "partial 16S ribosomal RNA". It matches the Rfam family "Bacterial small subunit ribosomal RNA", at positions 524 to 776 of the family's 1533-position model. The record is from RNAcentral.